This 225-nucleotide unclassified non-coding RNA is filed under the name Hevea brasiliensis (rubber tree). Lineage: Eukaryota; Viridiplantae; Streptophyta; Magnoliopsida; Malpighiales; Euphorbiaceae. The record is from RNAcentral.
AUGAUGUUGUAAACCUAUAUAGACAUAAUUCAAACUGCUGACAUUUUUCAAGCAGCCUUCCACAAUUGAUAAGUUGUAAAUGUAAGUAGCCAUUUUAUCAAAGAGCAAGUUCUUAGUUAAAUCAAAUUUCAAAUCAAUCACCACCUUUAUGUAUAUAACAGAAUGUUUUCAAAGGAUAUAUGUUCUUCACUUGGUCUACAAACUGGACCUUUGCCAUGUAAAAAA